This 286-nucleotide ribosomal RNA is filed under the name Gammaproteobacteria bacterium. Its description in RNAcentral is "partial 23S ribosomal RNA". It matches the Rfam family "Bacterial large subunit ribosomal RNA", at positions 2645 to 2925 of the family's 2925-position model. The record is from RNAcentral. Lineage: Bacteria; Pseudomonadati; Pseudomonadota; Gammaproteobacteria.
CCGUGGGCGUUGGAGACUUGAGGGUAGCUGUUCUUAGUACGAGAGGACCGGAACGGACACACCUCUGGUGUUUCGGUUGUGACGCCAGUCGCAUUGCCGAGUAGCUAUGUGUGGAAAGGAUAACCGCUGAAAGCAUCUAAGCGGGAAGCCCCACCCAAGAUUAGGUCUCCCUGAUUAUUUAAUAAUCCUAAAGAUCCCUCGAAGACUACGAGGUUGAUAGGCUAGGUGUGGAAGUACAGCAAUGUAUGAAGCUAACUAGUACUAAUUGAUCGUGAGGCUUGACCAU